CCUACGGGAGGCAGCAGUGGGGAAUAUUGCACAAUGGGGGAAACCCUGAUGCAGCGACGCCGCGUGAGUGAAGAAGUAUUUCUGUACGUAAAGCUCUAUCAGCAGGGGAGAAAAUGACGGUACCUGACUAAGAAUCCCCGGCUACCUCCGUUCCAGCAGCCGCGGUCAUGCGGAGGAUGCCAGCGUUAUCCGGAUUUAUUGGGUUAAAGGGGUGCGCAGGCGGUCUGUUAAGUCAGCGGUCAAAGCCCGGGGCUAAACCCGGGCCCGCCGUUGAAACUGGCAGUCUCGAGUUGGAGAGAAGUAGGCGGAAUGCGCGGUGUAGCGGUGAAAUGCAUAGAUAUCGCGCAGAACUCCGAUUGCGAAGGCAGCAUGCCGGCUCCACACUGACGCUGAGGCACGAAAGCGUGGGUAUCGAACAGGAUUAGAUACCCUGGUAGUC
RNAcentral lists this ribosomal RNA (439 nucleotides) under uncultured bacterium. RNAcentral's name for it is "partial 16S ribosomal RNA". It matches the Rfam family "Bacterial small subunit ribosomal RNA", at positions 338 to 795 of the family's 1533-position model. The record is from RNAcentral.